This 67-nucleotide transfer RNA is filed under the name Rattus norvegicus (Norway rat). It matches the Rfam family "tRNA". Rfam says of the family: Transfer RNA (tRNA) molecules are approximately 80 nucleotides in length. The record is from Rfam by way of RNAcentral. Lineage: Eukaryota; Metazoa; Chordata; Mammalia; Rodentia; Muridae.
GGGGAUUUAGCUCAGUGGUAGAGCACUUACCUAGCAAGUAAGUGCAAGGCCUUGGGUUCAGUCCUCG